RNAcentral lists this ribosomal RNA (488 nucleotides) under Escherichia coli IS29. RNAcentral describes it as "LSU rRNA". It matches the Rfam family "Bacterial large subunit ribosomal RNA", at positions 1027 to 1519 of the family's 2925-position model. Lineage: Bacteria; Pseudomonadati; Pseudomonadota; Gammaproteobacteria; Enterobacterales; Enterobacteriaceae. The record is from RNAcentral.
CCAGACCGCCAGCUAAGGUCCCAAAGUCAUGGUUAAGUGGGAAACGAUGUGGGAAGGCCCAGACAGCCAGGAUGUUGGCUUAGAAGCAGCCAUCAUUUAAAGAAAGCGUAAUAGCUCACUGGUCGAGUCGGCCUGCGCGGAAGAUGUAACGGGGCUAAACCAUGCACCGAAGCUGCGGCAGCGACACUAUGUGUUGUUGGGUAGGGGAGCGUUCUGUAAGCCUGUGAAGGUGUACUGUGAGGUAUGCUGGAGGUAUCAGAAGUGCGAAUGCUGACAUAAGUAACGAUAAAGCGGGUGAAAAGCCCGCUCGCCGGAAGACCAAGGGUUCCUGUCCAACGUUAAUCGGGGCAGGGUGAGUCGACCCCUAAGGCGAGGCCGAAAGGCGUAGUCGAUGGGAAACAGGUUAAUAUUCCUGUACUUGGUGUUACUGCGAAGGGGGGACGGAGAAGGCUAUGUUGGCCGGGCGACGGUUGUCCCGGUUUAAGCGU